GGGUUGUGAGGUUAAGCGACUAAGCGUACACGGUGGAUGCCCUGGCAGUCAGAGGCGAUGAAGGACGUGCUAAUCUGCGAUAAGCGUCGGUAAGGUGAUAUGAACCGUUAUAACCGGCGAUUUCCGAAUGGGGAAACCCAGUGUGAUUCGUCACACUAUCAUUAACUGAAUCCAUAGGUUAAUGAGGCGAACCGGGGGAACUGAAACAUCUAAGUACCCCGAGGAAAAGAAAUCAACCGAGAUUCCCCCAGUAGCGGCGAGCGAACGGGGAGCAGCCCAGAGCCUGAAUCAGUAUGUGUGUUAGUGGAAGCGUCUGGAAAGGCGCGCGAUACAGGGUGACAGCCCCGUACACAAAAAUGCACAUGCUGUGAGCUCGAUGAGUAGGGCGGGACACGUGGUAUCCUGUCUGAAUAUGGGGGGACCAUCCUCCAAGGCUAAAUACUCCUGACUGACCGAUAGUGAACCAGUACCGUGAGGGAAAGGCGAAAAGAACCCCGGCGAGGGGAGUGAAAAAGAACCUGAAACCGUGUACGUACAAGCAGUGGGAGCACGCUUAGGCGUGUGACUGCGUACCUUUUGUAUAAUGGGUCAGCGACUUAUAUUCUGUAGCAAGGUUAACCGAAUAGGGGAGCCGAAGGGAAACCGAGUCUUAACUGGGCGUUAAGUUGCAGGGUAUAGACCCGAAACCCGGUGAUCUAGCCAUGGGCAGGUUGAAGGUUGGGUAACACUAACUGGAGGACCGAACCGACUAAUGUUGAAAAAUUAGCGGAUGACUUGUGGCUGGGGGUGAAAGGCCAAUCAAACCGGGAGAUAGCUGGUUCUCCCCGAAAGCUAUUUAGGUAGCGCCUCGUGAAUUCAUCUCCGGGGGUAGAGCACUGUUUCGGCAAGGGGGUCAUCCCGACUUACCAACCCGAUGCAAACUACGAAUACCGGAGAAUGUUAUCACGGGAGACACACGGCGGGUGCUAACGUCCGUCGUGAAGAGGGAAACAACCCAGACCGCCAGCUAAGGUCCCAAAGUCAUGGUUAAGUGGGAAACGAUGUGGGAAGGCCCAGACAGCCAGGAUGUUGGCUUAGAAGCAGCCAUCAUUUAAAGAAAGCGUAAUAGCUCACUGGUCGAGUCGGCCUGCGCGGAAGAUGUAACGGGGCUAAACCAUGCACCGAAGCUGCGGCAGCGACGCUUAUGCGUUGUUGGGUAGGGGAGCGUUCUGUAAGCCUGCGAAGGUGUGCUGUGAGGCAUGCUGGAGGUAUCAGAAGUGCGAAUGCUGACAUAAGUAACGAUAAAGCGGGUGAAAAGCCCGCUCGCCGGAAGACCAAGGGUUCCUGUCCAACGUUAAUCGGGGCAGGGUGAGUCGACCCCUAAGGCGAGGCCGAAAGGCGUAGUCGAUGGGAAACAGGUUAAUAUUCCUGUACUUGGUGUUACUGCGAAGGGGGGACGGAGAAGGCUAUGUUGGCCGGGCGACGGUUGUCCCGGUUUAAGCGUGUAGGCUGGUUUUCCAGGCAAAUCCGGAAAAUCAAGGCUGAGGCGUGAUGACGAGGCACUACGGUGCUGAAGCAACAAAUGCCCUGCUUCCAGGAAAAGCCUCUAAGCAUCAGGUAACAUCAAAUCGUACCCCAAACCGACACAGGUGGUCAGGUAGAGAAUACCAAGGCGCUUGAGAGAACUCGGGUGAAGGAACUAGGCAAAAUGGUGCCGUAACUUCGGGAGAAGGCACGCUGAUAUGUAGGUGAAGUCCCUCGCGGAUGGAGCUGAAAUCAGUCGAAGAUACCAGCUGGCUGCAACUGUUUAUUAAAAACACAGCACUGUGCAAACACGAAAGUGGACGUAUACGGUGUGACGCCUGCCCGGUGCCGGAAGGUUAAUUGAUGGGGUCAGCGCAAGCGAAGCUCUUGAUCGAAGCCCCGGUAAACGGCGGCCGUAACUAUAACGGUCCUAAGGUAGCGAAAUUCCUUGUCGGGUAAGUUCCGACCUGCACGAAUGGCGUAAUGAUGGCCAGGCUGUCUCCACCCGAGACUCAGUGAAAUUGAACUCGCUGUGAAGAUGCAGUGUACCCGCGGCAAGACGGAAAGACCCCGUGAACCUUUACUAUAGCUUGACACUGAACAUUGAGCCUUGAUGUGUAGGAUAGGUGGGAGGCUUUGAAGUGUGGACGCCAGUCUGCAUGGAGCCGACCUUGAAAUACCACCCUUUAAUGUUUGAUGUUCUAACGUGGACCCGUAAUCCGGGUUGCGGACAGUGUCUGGUGGGUAGUUUGACUGGGGCGGUCUCCUCCUAAAGAGUAACGGAGGAGCACGAAGGUUGGCUAAUCCUGGUCGGACAUCAGGAGGUUAGUGCAAUGGCAUAAGCCAGCUUGACUGCGAGCGUGACGGCGCGAGCAGGUGCGAAAGCAGGUCAUAGUGAUCCGGUGGUUCUGAAUGGAAGGGCCAUCGCUCAACGGAUAAAAGGUACUCCGGGGAUAACAGGCUGAUACCGCCCAAGAGUUCAUAUCGACGGCGGUGUUUGGCACCUCGAUGUCGGCUCAUCACAUCCUGGGGCUGAAGUAGGUCCCAAGGGUAUGGCUGUUCGCCAUUUAAAGUGGUACGCGAGCUGGGUUUAGAACGUCGUGAGACAGUUCGGUCCCUAUCUGCCGUGGGCGCUGGAGAAUUGAGGGGGGCUGCUCCUAGUACGAGAGGACCGGAGUGGACGCAUCACUGGUGUUCGGGUUGUCAUGCCAAUGGCACUGCCCGGUAGCUAAAUGCGGAAGAGAUAAGUGCUGAAAGCAUCUAAGCACGAAACUUGCCCCGAGAUGAGUUCUCCCUGACUCCUUGAGAGUCCUGAAGGAACGUUGAAGACGACGACGUUGAUAGGCCGGGUGUGUAAGCGCAGCGAUGCGUUGAGCUAACCGGUACUAAUGAACCGUGAGGCUUAACCUUACAACGCCGAAG
This 2925-nucleotide ribosomal RNA is filed under the name Escherichia coli. RNAcentral's name for it is "bacterial LSU rRNA". It matches the Rfam family "Bacterial large subunit ribosomal RNA". Lineage: Bacteria; Pseudomonadati; Pseudomonadota; Gammaproteobacteria; Enterobacterales; Enterobacteriaceae. The record is from RNAcentral. RNAcentral also lists the same sequence under 1 other name.